RNAcentral lists this long non-coding RNA (2538 nucleotides) under Malus domestica (apple). RNAcentral's name for it is "long non-coding RNA (MDOM_LNC019610)". The record is from RNAcentral. Lineage: Eukaryota; Viridiplantae; Streptophyta; Magnoliopsida; Rosales; Rosaceae.
CGAACUGUCAAUGCCCAAUUGACAAUCCUAUGAUCAGGAACAUUUAGGAUGUGUCUACGAAAGAAUGGUCUCAUGAAUCUAAAUUCAUUAGAUUGCAUUCUCCCAAUCACAUAUUCCUUGGACUUUAUCGUUUAAGCAUAUAACAUUUAUAUGAGACGGCUCAAACAAUAAUAUUUGCCCUUUAUAUUUAAACUAGAUUAGUUUAACAUGUGAAAUGUCCGUAAAGUAUCAUCAUAUGAUUGGCUUUAGGGCACAUUUCCAACACAAUCAAGUGUCGACCCCUAAUUAACAAACACAAAUAAGUUAUUAAUCAAAUAGUUAAACCAAUUACAUUCACGAUUCAAGAAUUCAUAACUGGAAUUUAUCAAAUCAAAUUGCACACAUAGUCAUGGCUUUGAAAUCACCCCUAACCAAUAGGGGUUUAGCCACUCAUGUUCAUAGCAAAACGAAAAGAAAAGAAAUUACACAUUGAAAUCAUAAAACGAAUUACACCUAGAAUGCACUAACAAUGAAGCUUGGACAUCCAAGGGCCCUUCCUUCUUCCUUCUUGCUGCGGCACACAAGUGGGUGAGUCUAUGGAUUGUGUUUAGAGUAAGAAGUUAUGGAGAUUGGUGAAGUAUGGGCACGGCAAAGGGAGGUUGGAUGGUUUCUGCGUGAAUGGGAGUGAAUGAAUUGUUGUGGAUGGAUAUAGAUUGGUUAUGGUGAAGGGUGGAGUGAUUAGAAUGGUCAAAAAGGGGUCUUAUUUAUAGGGAAAGGAAGGGCUACGAAUUUAUUAAAUUUGGAAUCAGAAAUCAAUGGAAAAUAGGCAAGAAAGGUGCAGAAAUUAAAGAGAAUAGGAAAGGAAAUUCGGAAGAGAGUGUAGGACAGAUUUAGGAAUGUGUUUUGAGGCACAAAAUAGGUAAGAAUCCUCUCCCCUUGUGCAGCAAGAAUUGAAACAAAAGGGAAUGUAAUUUUGGAUCAGAAAUAGGUAAGAAAGAAUAAGAAAUUAAAGAGAAACAGGUAACAAAGAUGUGGCACAAUAUAGGAAAGGUACUUAAGGUCAGAAAUUAAAAGGGAAAGAGGAUGUAUGGUGCGGCAAGGGACAAGGGAGAAAGGGAAAGGUGUUUCUGGUUCAGAAAUUAGGAAAACAUGGCAAGGGAAAUUGUUGCACAAUAGGAGACAAGGAGGAAACACAAAGGGGACAAGGCGCCACCUUUGUAGGAGGUGCUGAAAUUGUGUCUUCUAAGCUUCCACACUGACUUCUAACAUCCUUUAGGCCUUCAAUUUCAUCAAUCAAUAUUACUCCAAGCAUAAACUAUUCAAUUCAUGCCCAAAACUGCUCCAAAAGGCUCCAAAAUGCAUCUUUUUGCAUACUUUGUCCUUAGAACCUGAAAUUUCACGAAAAUAGCUUAAAAUACUAAAAUUUCUAAGUACUAGCAACGUAAAUGCAAGGAAACAAGCUAAUUAAGUCGCAUAAAUAUGCUCCUAUCAAAUUCCCCCACACUUAGCUUUUGCUAGUCCUCUGAUAGGAGCAUAUUUAUGCGACUUAAUUGGCUUGUUCUCGUGCAUUUACGUUGUGUUUCCUUAGUUAUUUCAGUGUUUAAAGUCACUUUUGUGUGUUUUCAAAUUCUAAGGCCAAGGGAUGCAAGAAGAUGCAUUUUGGAGCUUUUUGGAUCAAAAUUGGGCUUGGAAUGAUUAUCACAUGAUUGGAGCAAAAAGAAUGGACGUAAUUGAAGAUCUGAAGAAGUUAGGAUUCCUAAUCAACGAAGGAUUCCUACUCCAACAAGGAUUCCUACUUGAAGUAGGAAAGUUAAGCCAAGGUUUCCUACUUUAGUUUGACCUUUCCUAAGUGUCCCUAAGUGUUAUCAACUUUGAAGGUCUUCUAAGUAUUCUAGCACAUCAAGCACACAUUUCUUGCAUGGUUUACAUGCCUUUUCCACAAUUCCAUCUUCCUUGCCGUGCAAGGGAACCCUUUCCCUUCAGUUUUAGUACAUUUAAACCUUUCCCUAAACCUUUCCUACAUCACAGCCGCAUCCCUUGACCUUUCCUCUUCCUUGCCGUGCAAGGGAGAGUGAUUCUUUCCUAUUUUCUGAAUUAAAACACUUUCUUUUUGUGUUUCAUACCCUAGCCGCACCUCUUAGUCAAUUUCCCUUAAGUUUCUGAUUUUGUUUCCUAUUUCUAGAAGCCUUAGACUUAAUUUCUGAUUACCUAAAUAACCUAGGGUUUUAAUUCCUGAAAUCCUUUAAAUAAACUCUCUUUUGCAGCCAUAAAACAUCCAUAUACUGACCAUUCACGCCAGAAACACCAUUCCACUCUUAGCCGCACCAUUCUACCACCAUUCACCCUAUUUUCUGCCCAGAAACUACCCUAGCCGACCCCUACAUCCAUCCUAACCUUAAUUCCAUCCUUCUACAUCAUCCAUAACUCCCUAAACUCACCCCCAACCCUUGUACCGCAGCAAAGGAAAGGAAGAAGAAGUGCUUGGAGGUUCUAGCUGUUCAACAUUGAAUUGUUGGAAUAUUUAGGCGUUCUCUUUCUUAUAUUUACAAUGUAUAAAUC